Long non-coding RNA from Pieris napi, 355 nucleotides. RefSeq lists it as uncharacterized. NCBI's taxonomy places the organism in Eukaryota, Metazoa, Arthropoda, Insecta, Lepidoptera, Pieridae. The transcript is spliced from 2 exons. The record is from RefSeq and is a predicted model, not a curated record.
UUAAAUGUAACAUAAAAAAAUAACUUAACAAAUUAAAUUUGUUUUAUAGUUGCAAAACAUGUAAAACCUUAAAUUUCAUGGACCAUUGACUAUGACCAUGUCAAUAGUCAUGUAAUAAAUAAACAAUAGAUAUGCCAAUGACAUGACAAUGUUUAAGGCUCGAUAAUAAUUGUCUGUACCAAUCACAGUGUUUCAAAAUAACUCGGGAACAAAAAAAUUAUUCGCUCACCAGUUUAUUAUGUGCAGAGUUAAAUGGUUAGGGAUAGAUAGUAAAUGACUAUAUUUAACUUUGACCCCAUUCAAUGUACAUAUCUGUUAUCGGUGAUGAAAUUAUAAUUUUGGGGAAUUAAAUUUA